GACGAACGCUGGCGGCGUGCUUAACACAUGCAAGUCGAACGGUAAGGCCCCUUCGGGGGUACACGAGUGGCGAACGGGUGCGUAACACGUGAGCAACCUGCCCUUGACUCUGGAAUAACAGUUGGAAACAGCUGCUAAUACUGGAUAUUCAUCGUCUCCUUCCUGGGGGGUGGUGGAAGGCUCCGGCGGUCAGGGAUGGGCUCGCGGCCUAUCAGCUUGUUGGUGAGGUAAUGGCUCACCAAGGCUUCGACGGGUAGCCGGCCUGAGAGGGCGACCGGCCACACUGGGACUGCGAUACGGCGCAGACGCCUACGGGAGGCAGCAGUGGGGAAUAUUGCACAAUGGGCGCAAGCCUGAUGCAGCAACGCCGCGUGCGGGAUGAUGGCCUUCGGGUUGUAAACCGCUUUCAGUAGGGACGAAGGGUGACUGACGGUACCUACAGAAGAAGGACCGGCUAACUACGUG
RNAcentral lists this ribosomal RNA (465 nucleotides) under uncultured bacterium. RNAcentral's name for it is "partial 16S ribosomal RNA". It matches the Rfam family "Bacterial small subunit ribosomal RNA", at positions 28 to 507 of the family's 1533-position model. The record is from RNAcentral.